Molecule: long non-coding RNA, 1960 nt
Organism: Equus asinus (donkey)
Lineage: Eukaryota; Metazoa; Chordata; Mammalia; Perissodactyla; Equidae
Source: Ensembl
AGCAUCUAAGACGCUCACGGUAGGCGAUUGUCACACUUUAUUCUACCUGCCAUUAUGUCCCUUUAUUUAUUGGCUGACGGUCCCUCUCCCCUCAGGGAACAUCACCCCCGCCAGUGCAGGGACUGUUCUGUUCACUGCUGCAUCCCCUGUGCUGGGGAAGAGCGAAGCACACAGUAGGGGCUCAAUAUUUGCUGAACGAAUGAGUAUUAAUUUUUUUCACCAUGAAUAAGAAGCCCUGGUCACCAGAUGGAGACUGUGCCUGUCAAAGUGUGCUCUCCCCAGGCUUCCCCAUGAGACUGUGAUGGCACAGAAAGCUGGUAUUUGUUUCACUCUGACACCCAAACAGGUGGCUCAGGAGUUGGGAUGGUUAAAGGAUUCUGUCAUCUGAGGGCAGAUUCGAGAAAGAUGAGGUUCUGCUUGGUGGGCAACUUUGAAACAGGCAACUGAAGAAAUCUGGGUUCUGCCACCUGGGAGUGUGGGCACAUGAUGUGGGAUCAGGAUGUAGGAACUGAGUUCAAAAAACGGAAAAGCAUGUGGAAAAUUGAACAUCGAGUAAUCGGUCUCUAGCAGCGUGUCCAGAAGGAGGCAGGGUGGUCUUUCUGACUGUUUUCAACGCCCCCCAGAGAAUGGUCAGUGCAGGCUCCGUGAAGAAUGCCCCUCUGGGGCGUGGGCAAGAGGGGGUCUCACCAUGCUGCCUUGGAAACUGGCGCCACACCCUCUCCAGGUGCUCAAGAUGGCGCCACCCAGUUGGGUCUUUCCUGAGCAGCUCAAAUGCUACUAUUGCCUCAUGGAAGCUCCAGGAGACCCCACCCUCCGCAGAUCACACAGCCCCGCCCCCGUGCUCCCACAGCCCCCGGGGAUGAAGGCCCAGCAACGAGGUGCCCAGACGUGGUGUUGAGGGCUGCCCCUACGGCCGGCAUGGCCUUUCCUGGAAGAUCUGAGGGACAGCCCCUCUGUGCAGUGUUUUGAAAAGGGAAUUUAAGACCCAGAAAAAUGGUGAUUUCUUCAUGGCCCGAUAAAAGGAACAAGAUUUGGUUCCCAUCCCAGCUCUGCCACCUCCUAGCCAUGUGACUUUGAGCAAGUCCACACAAGAGGCGGGGUCAGCUCGGGGAAGCAGGAGCCUUUGCCCCCAACAGUCUGACCUCCAUCCACCCCUCCAUGUGUCUCACACCUGGUCCUGGGCCCGCAGGCAGCGGCCUGUUUAUCAACAGGAAAGGAGGAUGGCGAGCACGUCAUGGAGCCUCGGGACCACAAGGGCCAAGGGCAUUCUGAUGUUUUCCGCCUCGUGGAAGCUGUCCAGAGCUGGUCUCCAGCACUCCAGGACUGUAGCCACCAGGCCUGCUGGGAAGGGAAUGGACAGCUUUUCACUUUUUCUUAGCGGGGCCCUGGCUUCGGGGCCAGGAGGGGCUCCCAACUGCCUGCGGAACGGAGGCCCAGUUCCAAUCUGGCCUCUUGACCGUAAGCUCUCUCCUCGGGAAGCCCUGGCAUCCUGGGCCAUGCCUGAGGCCUUCCAGGGUGCCCCGAGUGUGGACUAGUCUUCCUCUGACCUCUCCAAACCAACUGCUCCCCUUGCUGUCAAAAUGGGGCAAACCCCCCACCCUCCCAGCAGCCUUCCUGCCCCCAUCUCCUACCACAGGCUGGAAGGUCCCCGCUCUCUGGGCUCCCACACUUUUGACUCUGAACCAGGGCUACUCACGUCUGACUUGUGCGAUUUUCCUUGGGGCGGGCCCUGGGUUUGACUCCAACUGUGGGAUUACAGCGUCUGCUCAGCAUCAUAGUGCAAUAAAUAUUUGCUCAAGGGCGGCAACGAAUGCAUUCAAGGCUCAUUAAUUAAGUUAAACAAAGAAUGUUUUAGAUGGUAAGUCACAGGUAUUGGCCAAGCUUUUCUGGACAUGUCAUCAUGAGGAAUUGAACCCGUGACACAGGGAGGGAGGCAGGACGUGAGUCCCAGGGCGUGGGG